UCCAAUAUGACAAAGGUCACAGCUGUGACAGUAGAGGAAGAAAACUGAGAGAGAAAAUAGUGAUGUUUGACCUGAUCACAGCCUCACCUUCAAAUAUCAUUCCACCGUUUAUCAAACAAACAGGUGUGAAUGUGGUUUUUAUUGUGGAUCUACUUUCUGUGGUGGAUGGAUACGUAGAGAAACAGAUCAGUGGUGUGCCACAGUGUGAUAUUAGAUCACAUUUAAACUUAGAGGAUAUAAACUCAUCUCUACAUCAGCUCUCCUCCUCUCCACACAACCAGCCGACUUUGAUUGACAGUCGAGGAGGGGCAGGGCCAGGUGGGACAGGAAGUGUAUCCUGCAGGGGGCAGGAAGUGUGUUGUUUUGGAGCGACAUGCCAGCACAUCCAAACAGGAAGCAGGAACUCACUGAGACCUGACCUCUGACCUCUGUGACGCCCGACAUCAAAGAGAGGGACACACACACACACACACACACGCAGAGUCACUACUGUCCCUUAUUCUGCUCUGACCUGGUGCUGCCCCCUGGUGGUCUGACCGGUUCAUGACCGUGAGGUAAAUUUAUCUGACCAGUUUUUUUUUUUUCUCCUUAAAGCUUAAAUAUACUUUUUUUUUUUUUUACACAACCACAGAGAGAAAGAAAAAAAUAGAUAUAAAUUGAUGAAAGACAAACAGCACUAUCUGGUGGACAAAACUAGCCUUCACAUUAUCACACUUGUGAGAUUAAAGGUGGGGUAGGCAGGAUUCUAUUAAAGAAGCAUCUUUUUCGUGGUGUACACUACAGGCCAAAGGUUUGGAAGCAAGAUCAGAUUUGCAAAAAAAGAGACCAUAGUUUCAUAUAUAUAAUUUUCAACACAAUAAACAUGACUAUUAUGUAAAGAGUAACUUAUCAGAAGACAUUUUGAGUAUUAUUAUCAGGUAUUUGAGUUAUUGUUGCUUAGACUUUGCUUUCUGUAAAGAAACCUCCUCUGGCUCUGGCCAAGUUCAUUAAAAAGAUACUGCUGAUUCGCAGGACGCUUUUUUCUGACUGAUCGAUCUAAUUCAUCCCGCACAAGCUCAAUUGGAGAAAGGUCUGGAGACUGAGGGGGCCAAACCAUCUCUUGAAGAACACCUUCCUCUUCUCUUUUGUCUAGGUAACCCUGACAGAGCUCGGCAGAGUGCUUAGGGUCAUUGUCUUGCUGCAAAACAAACUUAUAAACCACAAGUCUGAGUCCAGAUGGAACAGCAUGGUGCUGGAGGAUGGAGUGGUACUGUCCCUUCUUCAUGAUGCCCUUUACUUCAAACAAAUCUCCUACUCCAUCACCUGCAAAACAUCCCCAUACCAUGGAACUACCACCUCCAUGCUGAAUUGUGGGUGUAACACAUGGUGCUUUCAGUCCUUCACCAGUUUGUCUGCGGACAUAGACUCUGCGUUUUGAACCAAACAGUGCAAACUUGUUUCUAGUCAUCAUAAAUCCAAUUUUUGUGAACCUUUGCCCACUCAUAUCUCUUUUCUUGUUCUGUGGACGAAGUGGUGUUUUUUUUGCAGAUACACAACCCUUCAGACCAGCCUUUCUCAAACGUCAUUUCACAGUUGUCAGAGAUAUGGGUUUCCACCUUGUCAUGUUGAUUUCCUCCCUUAUUUGUGGUGCUGUCUUUCACCGAUCUCUCUUACUGGUGACAAUGCUAUGUUUAUCCUCUGCUUUUGUAGAAAAUGGAGUAAAAUGGCGCAUUUCCAUGAAAGCAACAUCUGAUCAUGGAGUAAAUACAUCUAAAAAUACAUGAAACUCAUGCUGGAUUUUUAAAAAAGCAUUGUGAACAAAAACUUGAAGUUAGUCCCAACUGUUCAGCCUGUAAUGGCCUUGCUUCCAAACUUUUGGCCUGUAAUGUAUUUCCAAAAAAGCUUUAAAUAUCAAUAUCUAUUAAUGACAUUUGGUGAUAUAACGAUAUUUCUGUGUUCUCUUAUGUCUGUGUAGUCAACAUUUUAACAUUUUUGAGUGGCCUGCUCUUUCUAACUAAAGAGCCGGCAGCCCGCGUUUGGCUUGAGCGUGUGAUGACGUUUCCAGCUUUUCUAGCCAAUCAGACACGAAGGAGGCAGGACUUUCCCCUACCAUCGUACAAAAAAAAAAUAUCGCAGACCAGACGAGAGCUAAAAAGCCGGGUCAACAUAAACGAUGGGGGACGCUUCGGGAUCUUGGUGACCCUGUAACCUUUCUGGUGGACAGGUAAACCGCUUUAACAAAGUAAGACAAGUGUCUGCAACAGAAGUAUUCUUGUCAAAUGGGACCUGCUGUAGCAUGAUGUAGCACUGCUAAACUGUCCUCCCUCGGGUCCUGGACUAUGUCACUUUAUCCUAGUUGUAGAAGUCCUGCAAACUUUGUGUUUGCUGGUAGUCUGUUAGCAUCUACAGUAGCACCAAUGCUUUUUACUUUCACGUUGACUGGGACCCAUUUGUAAUUAUCUGAAGUAUUUAUCUACAUUAUAUCUGAAUUUAAUUGGAACGAUACGCGGGAGCAGGAGCGUCUGUUUGUGGGCGGGGCUUGCUGGAGCAGAGAGGGAGGGGAGAGGGGGAGCUGAGGGGAAAACUGGUUGGGAGGGGUAGAGCUUACAUUCAAGAUUUCUCCUAAAGCUGGAACUAACUCAGAUCCUGACUACACCACCCUUAGAUGAAGAAUUCAAAUGUACCGUUCUGUGGAUAAAGUGAUGUCAGUUUAUCAAAUGAAUAACAAACCAACUUCUUUAGUGAAUUAAUAAUUAGGUGCAAAAAUGAAAAUUUAACAUAUUCUAGUUUUUACCACAUAGUAAAAUGUCAGUCAAAUGAUGAAAAUGAAACCAUUCAAUCAAUAAAAAACUAAUUUCUUUAUGUUUGUAGGAUGUAAAUGUUUCUGUAUCAAAGAAAAAUAUCGUCCUGUAAUAAAACAGAGAGACGGACAAAAAGGUGGA
Non-coding RNA from Xyrichtys novacula (pearly razorfish), 2921 nucleotides. NCBI's taxonomy places the organism in Eukaryota, Metazoa, Chordata, Actinopteri, Labriformes, Labridae. The record is from the annotation of a GenBank genome assembly.